This 253-nucleotide ribosomal RNA is filed under the name uncultured bacterium. Its description in RNAcentral is "partial 16S ribosomal RNA". It matches the Rfam family "Bacterial small subunit ribosomal RNA", at positions 524 to 776 of the family's 1533-position model. The record is from RNAcentral.
UACGAAGGGAGCUAGCGUUGUUCGGAAUUACUGGGCGUAAAGGGCGCGUAGGCGGUUAUGUAAGUCAGAUGUGAAAGCCCCGGGCUCAACCUGGGAUGUGCAUUUGAAACUGUGUAACUAGAGAUCGAAAGAGGAAAGUGGAAUUGCGAGUGUAGAGGUGAAAUUCGUAGAUAUUCGCAGGAACACCAGUGGCGAAGGCGACUUUCUGGUUCGAUACUGACGCUAAGGCGCGAAAGCGUGGGGAGCAAACAGG